This 174-nucleotide ribosomal RNA is filed under the name uncultured bacterium. Its description in RNAcentral is "partial 16S ribosomal RNA". It matches the Rfam family "Bacterial small subunit ribosomal RNA", at positions 1327 to 1500 of the family's 1533-position model. The record is from RNAcentral.
UGGAAUCGCUAGUAAUCGCGGAUCAGAAUGUCGCGGUGAAUACGUUCCCGGGUCUUGUACACACCGCCCGUCACACCAUGGGAGUCGGGAAUGCCCGAAGUCAGUGACCCAACCUAUUGGAGGGAGCUGCCGAAGGCAGGUCUGAUAACUGGGGUGAAGUCGUAACAAGGUAAC